RNAcentral lists this microRNA precursor (104 nucleotides) under Podarcis lilfordi (Lilford's wall lizard). The stretch from base 12 to 101 matches the Rfam family "mir-204 microRNA precursor family". The record is from RNAcentral. Lineage: Eukaryota; Metazoa; Chordata; Lepidosauria; Squamata; Lacertidae.
AGUACCUCUUCAUGUGACUCGUGGGCUUCCCUUUGUCAUCCUAUGCCUGAGAAUAUAUAAAGGGGGCUGGGAAGGCAAAGGGACGUUCAGCUGUCAUCACCAGC